Molecule: ribosomal RNA, 253 nt
Filed under: uncultured bacterium
Lineage: Bacteria
Description: partial 16S ribosomal RNA
Rfam family: Bacterial small subunit ribosomal RNA
Source: RNAcentral
UACAUGUGGGGCAAGCGUUGUUCGGAAUUACUGGGCAUAAAGGGUGCGUAGGUGGCUUGUUAAGUCAGGGGUGAAAUCCGGUGGCCCAACCAUCGAACUGCCUUUGAUACUGGCGAGCUUGAGUGCGUGAGGGGUAGGGGGAACGAGCAGUGUAGCGGUGAAAUGCGUAGAUAUUGCUCGGAAGGCCGGAGCCGAAGGAGCCCUACUGGUGCGCAACUGACACUGAGGCACGAAAGCGUGGGGAGCAAACAGG